This 293-nucleotide ribosomal RNA is filed under the name Stygopholcus sp. Bal3. Its description in RNAcentral is "partial 12S ribosomal RNA". The record is from RNAcentral. Lineage: Eukaryota; Metazoa; Arthropoda; Arachnida; Araneae; Pholcidae.
GGUAGUAUAUAAGAAAAAACCCAUAUAUAAUGGCGGUCUUAUUAAUCUAAAGGAACUCGCUUCAUAAUCGUCAACACCCGAUAAUUUUCACUUAAUUGACAAAAUCUAUAUACCGCCGUUACAGAUUAUAUUUCACAAUAACAAUCAAAUAAUAAAACUUUAAAAAAUCAGGUCAAGGUGUAGUCUAUAAUAAAGAGUAAGUAAGUUACACUAAAAAUAAUUUAAGGCAUGAAAUUUAAAAACAACAAAAAAAAGAAUUUAGUUUCACACAAUUUUUAACAUAAAAUUUAGAA